GCAUAUCAAUAAGCGAGGAAAAGAAACUAACAAGGAUUCCCCUAGUAACGGCGAGUGAAGCGGGAAGAGCUCAAAUUUGUAAUCUGGCACUUUCAGUGUCCGAGUUGUAAUCUCGAGAAGUGUUUUCCGCGCCGGACUGCAUACAAGUCUGUUGGAAUACAGCGUCAUAGUGGUGAGAACCCCGUAACUGAUGCAGAUGCCCGGUGCUUUGUGAUACACUUUCGAAGAGUCGAGUUGUUUGGGAAUGCAGCUCAAAUUGGGUGGUAAAUUCCAUCUAAAGCUAAAUAUUGGCGAGAGACCGAUAGCGAACAAGUACCGUGAGGGAAAGAUGAAAAGCACUUUGGAAAGAGAGUUAACAGUACGUGAAAUUGUUGGAAGGGAAACGAUUGAAGUCAGACUUGUUAUCUGGAGUUCAGCCUUUCGGUGUACUCUCCAGUUUACAGGCCAGCAUCAGUUUUCGGGGCGGGAAAAUCGUAAUUUGAAGGUAGCAGCCUAGCUGUGUUAUAGCUUUUUACUGGAUUCCGCUUUGGGGACUGAGGAACGCAGUGUGCUUUUAGCAAUACCCUCGGGUAUUUCACACUUAGGAUGCUGGUGGAAUGGCUUUAAACGACCCGUCUUGAAACACGGACCAAGGAGUCUAACAUGCUUGCGAGUAUUUGGGUGUCAAACCCGGAUGCGCAAUGAAAGUGAAUGAAGGUGGGAUCCGCAAGGUGCACCAUCGACCGAUCUGGAUUUUUUAAGAUGGAUUUGAGUAAGAGCAAUUAUGUUGGGACCCGAAAGAUGGUGAACUAUGCCUGAAUAGGGCGAAGCCAGAGGAAACUCUGGUGGAGGCUCGUAGCGGUUCUGACGUGCAAAUCGAUCGUCAAAUUUGGGUAUAGGGGCGAAAGACUAAUCGAACCAUCUAGUAGCUGGUUCCUGCCGA
This 922-nucleotide ribosomal RNA is filed under the name Curvibasidium cygneicollum. RNAcentral describes it as "LSU rRNA". It matches the Rfam family "Eukaryotic large subunit ribosomal RNA", at positions 38 to 964 of the family's 3401-position model. The record is from RNAcentral. Lineage: Eukaryota; Fungi; Basidiomycota; Microbotryomycetes.